CAGAGUCAAUGUGAAGGCUAUAUACAGGGGGUACCGGUACAGAGUCAAUGUGGAGGCUAUAUACAGGGGUACCAGUACAGAGUCAAUGUGGAGGCUAUAUACAGGGGGUACCGGUACAGAGUCAAUGUGGAGGCUAUAUACAGGGGGUACCAGUACAGAGUCAAUGUGGAGGCUAUAUACAGGGGGGUACCGGUACAGAGUCAAUGUGGAGGCUAUAUACAGGGGGUACCGGUACAGAGUCAAUGUGGAGGCUAUAUACAGGGGGUACCGGUACAGAGUCAAUGUGGAGGCUAUAUACAGGGGGUACGGUACAGAGUCAAUGUGGAGGCUAUAUACAGGGGGUACUGGUACAGAGUCAAUGUGGAGG
This is a long non-coding RNA of Oncorhynchus tshawytscha (Chinook salmon), 367 nucleotides long. Lineage: Eukaryota; Metazoa; Chordata; Actinopteri; Salmoniformes; Salmonidae. The record is from Ensembl.